CCUACCUUCGGGACCACUGAGAACUUUCUAAAGCUCCGCGCCUCAGCUUGCGUCUCUCAAAUUCUACAUGAGGAAAGCAGAUGCAUCAACCAGAACAUCAUGGUAGGGGGCGGCCAGAGACCACUAGAUCGUGGUAAGGACUCGGAAAGCUAAGGACUCAGAGGUAACUAGUCCUGCUCCUGAGCCCUGGAAAACCUGAUGAACACGGUAGGUCCGGGAGGGGAUAGAUCACGGAUCCCUGUGGUGGGAAGUUCUCGAUCCCACUUGUGUGUGGCCGCUGCUCUGGGGGGGGGGUAUGCAAGGCAGUUGGGGGGGUUAUCUUGCCUUGUUUGUUAAAUGUAGAGUGCCUUCCACCACCACCACCCCACAGAGACAAGCAGAGCUGUGUUCGUGGGAUGCAGGAAGUCCCAGCAGGGUUAUUUUACACGGAACGCACAUGUCACAGAAGAAUCUGAAGGUGCCUGCAGCUCAAUGACAGAAAGGAGUGUUUGAGUGACAGCUUUGAGACAACCCAGCAUUCCUUUGUGUAUGCUGGUGCGCACAUGUACAGAGGUCGGAGGACAGAGAGUUUGUGGAUUCUGGGAUUGGAGCUCAGGUCGUGAAGCUUGGCAGUAAUCACCCAUACUGGCUGGGCCAUCUCACCAGCCUUCUUCCAGCCUUCAGACUGGACUCGGGUGCGUGAUCAGCUUUCCUCCUAAGCAUCGCUGGAGCCUUCAGCAGCACGGUGCUGCCUUUGGAUCCUUGCCAUUGCUGUGUGUGACGUGGAACCUCACACAUGUCCCGUCCUGACUGGAAACCUGCUCUGCUUCAGCCCCCUACGUGGAGCACAACCUCCAGUCCUGAAGGGGAAGGUUUGCUAAGCAGGAGAGCUGGGGGAGCUCUGUCUCCGAAGGACUAUGAUUGAACCCAGGUCCACAUGAAUGUUCUACCACUGAUCGACAUUGAACUCCCUUUUUAUUUUAUUUUGAGACAAGAUCUCACUGAGUUGCCCAUACUGGCCUCUCAAACUUGGAACACUCAUGCCUUAGACUCCCAAGUAACCAGUAUUAUAGGCAUGAACCACCAUGCCCUGUCUGGAGGGUUUCUUGGUUAACCACCUCUGUAAGAAUGAGCUUGGGGGGGGGGGGGUAGCAAACCCCCAGCAUUAUGAAUUAAUACCCUGCCUCUCCCAUAUAUGGCACAGUAUCUGCCUAAUAAAGUUGUGUAAAAGAA
This is a long non-coding RNA of Peromyscus leucopus (white-footed mouse), 1212 nucleotides long. RefSeq lists it as uncharacterized. The transcript is spliced from 6 exons. NCBI's taxonomy places the organism in Eukaryota, Metazoa, Chordata, Mammalia, Rodentia, Cricetidae. The record is from RefSeq and is a predicted model, not a curated record.